GCUAAACGCGAAGAACCUUACCAGGCCUUGACAUGCAGAGAACUUUCCAGAGAUGGGAUUGGUGCCUUCGGGAACGUCUGACACAGGUGCUGCAUGGCUGUCGUCAGCUCGUGUCGUGAGAUGUUGGGUUAAGUCCCGUAACGAGCGCAACCCGUUGUCCUUAGUUACCAGCACGUCAUGGUGGGCACUCUAAGGAGACUGCCGGUGACAAACCGGAGGAAGGUGGGGAUGGACGUCAAGUCAUCAUGGCCCUUACGGCCUGGGCUACACACGUGCUACAAUGGUCGGUACAGAGGGUUGCCAAGCCGCGAGGUGGAGCUAAUCUCACAAAACCGAUCGUAGUCCGGAUCGCAGUCUGCAACUCGACUGCGUGAAGUCGGAAUCGCUAGUAAUCGCGAA
RNAcentral lists this ribosomal RNA (399 nucleotides) under uncultured bacterium. RNAcentral describes it as "bacterial SSU rRNA". It matches the Rfam family "Bacterial small subunit ribosomal RNA", at positions 954 to 1348 of the family's 1533-position model. The record is from RNAcentral.